RNAcentral lists this ribosomal RNA (496 nucleotides) under uncultured bacterium. RNAcentral's name for it is "partial 16S ribosomal RNA". It matches the Rfam family "Bacterial small subunit ribosomal RNA", at positions 28 to 507 of the family's 1533-position model. The record is from RNAcentral.
GAUGAACGCUGGCGGCGUGCCUAAUACAUGCAAGUCGAGCGAACAGACGAGGAGCUUGCUCCUCUGACGUUAGCGGCGGACGGGUGAGUAACACGUGGAUAACCUACCUAUAAGACUGGGAUAACUUCGGGAAACCGGAGCUAAUACCGGAUAAUAUAUUGAACCGCAUGGUUCAAUAGUUAAAGACGGUUUUGCUGUCACUUAUAGAUGGAUCCGCGCCCAUUAGCUAGUUGGUAAGGUAACGGCUUACCAAGGCGACGAUGCGUAGCCGACCUGAGAGGGUGAUCGGCCACACUGGAACUGAGACACGGUCCAGACUCCUACGGGAGGCAGCAGUAGGGAAUCUUCCGCAAUGGGCGAAAGCCUGACGGAGCAACGCCGCGUGAGUGAUGAAGGUCUUCGGAUCGUAAAACUCUGUUAUUAGGGAAGAACAAAUGUGUAAGUAACUAUGCACGUCUUGACGGUACCUAAUCAGAAAGCCACGGCUAACUACGUG